RNAcentral lists this ribosomal RNA (301 nucleotides) under uncultured bacterium. RNAcentral's name for it is "partial 16S ribosomal RNA". It matches the Rfam family "Bacterial small subunit ribosomal RNA", at positions 509 to 807 of the family's 1533-position model. The record is from RNAcentral.
CAGUCGCCGCGGGAAUACAGAGGGUGCGAGCGUUAAUCGGAUUUACUGGGCGUAAAGCGUGCGUAGGCGGCUAAUUGAGUCGGAUGUGAAAUCCCCGAGCUUAACUUGGGAAUUGCAUUCGAUACUGGUUAGCUAGAGUGUGGGAGAGGAUGGUAGAAUUCCAGGUGUAGCGGUGAAAUGCGUAGAGAUCUGGAGGAAUACCGAUGGCGAAGGCAGCCAUCUGGCCUAACACUGACGCUGAGGUGCGAAAGCGUGGGGAGCAAACAGGAUUAGAUACCCCCGUAGUCCCUGUCUCUUAUAC